AUUCAAAUUAGCAGAAGCCACUUCUGCAGGACAGGGAGUAUAUCAGAUGUAUAGAGAUAAAGUACCGGCUCAUAUUAAGUAUACAUAUAUAUAAUAUCUUAAUGCCCCGUAAUCACAGGACAUGUUAACUGAAAAGGAAUGAAGUACCGUGCUUUAAGAAACAGGCAAACUGAGUAUCUAAGUCGGCUGAACGGAACAGAUUACUGAGUAUGGUAGUGCAUGGAAGCGACAAAGUAGAAACUCGUAUUCUUCUUUGACCGUCAACUGUGGUGUACAGAAGAGCGCACUGCACCAAAAAGAUGGAGAGCUGACUAAAGUGCAAAGCUGGUUGGCAAAUUUGUUCUCAAAUAAAAUGAAUAUGAAAAUCAAACAGUCAGAAUGAUAUAGUCAUUGCCUGAAAAGAACAUUCUGCACCAUCCUGCAAUUUCUCAUCAUGUUUUAGUGUCACCAUUAUUGUCUUGUCACAAUCAAUCUGCAAAGAAGUGCUGGAUCAGAACUGAAACAAAAUCAUGUCAUAAAACGGAUAAUACUUCAGAGAGGGAGAGGAAGAGAGACCGCUGGCAGAUCCACAUCUGUUGGAAUGCGUUUACAAAAAUUUCCAGAAUAUUCUUGAACUUGAAGGCCCUACAAGAGAAAAAUCUUUUCGUUAUUCGUGAUAUUUUUUCCAUCGUGCAGAAUAAAAUGUCAAGAUUACAUUAUGAUACUUUAUCCCUUUAGCUGGUAUUUGGAACAUUUAAGGACACACACACCUCAAUUAACUUUGGUGUGUAGACUUUGAACACCCACACACUUAACAAAGUGGGUGGUGCUGACCAUUGGCAAACCUUUAUCAAAUUUUGAUGACUAAAGAUGGCUUAAAAUACAUGCUAUAUUUACCUGGCUGGAUCUAACUCGCAUAACCGCCUCAAAACCUUGAGGCCUGGUAAUGUUCCAUCGAAGAUCAUUGUAAAGCUUGGCAGGGUCAGAAACCGCAGAGAAAGGGUAAUAAUAAUAUACCUGAAUGAGUAGGUGAUUAUUGUAAGUCGUAAAACUCAACUAAUGAAGGAAAUCAAAAUACACGCAAUAAUAGAAACAAAACAGCUAGAGUCAAAGAUGUGGGGAGCCUGAUUAUCCUUGAAUCAGGCAAAUUUACACCCAGUGCAUAGGCUGACUAUAGAACGAUAUAUACAUUUAAAAAAAACAACAGCAAUCCCAUUACCAUCUUGUUCAGGAACUACUACAACUUUCAGCCAUGCUAGUAUGUUACACAACCAAAACAUUUCUUCUUAUCAGUUGAGUAAGGACAUUAUAUCAAACUUGUAUGAUUACAAGACAACCAAAUUCCAGGUACAUUGACAUAUAUUUAAAACUGCAAAACCAACUGAGCACCAACUCCUUGGUCCUUACGAAGGCAAGAACAAUAACAAGUAAUUUGUACUUGAGGAGUUGCCCAAAACAUAUGUUUACCUAGAUACUUAAGGGUUCUAAAUGUCAACAAAAGGAACUGGAAAUAAAACAAAGAUGGGCUAGAAAAUUAGUUUUUGAUAAACCAACAAAUUAUUGGAGGAACACUUAUGGAACAACAAUCAAUAAAUUAGAGCAAGUCUUGACCUGUGACAGUACAGUUCAUAACAUCUACUUAAAAAAAAUCCUCCCGGCUGCUGUACACUCAAAUAUAAUUAUAGAAGUGUAUUGCAACAAUGAAAGCUGGAUCAGUGGUGGAGCCACCUAUUGAGCCUCGUCGGGGCCAAUUUUUUUCCACAAAUAUAGUAACAUUUACAUAAUUUACAAGGUUAACAAAUAUUAUGUUACUAAAAAUAUCUGGUACGAAACUAAACAUUUGUGAGAUAUUUUACAAUUCUUCCUUUUUUGGAAUUUUGAAGUCACCUUCAAUUUAAACUUCAGACAUCUCUUGAUGCAUUCAAUUCAGAAUUAAAGCUUACAGAAUACAGAAUUCAUUGUCUAGAUAGCCAGGUGGAACACAGAACUCCUCAAAGUACAUUUAGGGCAAUUUUUAUCCUAAAUAUUAUAGCUUUAAAAAAAAUUAUAUAGUUUCUCAGUUACCUGCCCCCCAGUAGUCCUUGGAAUCACAGAGAUUGAUGCAAUGUCAAUAUAUGUUUGUGUGGUUAUGAACACAUCAACGCAGACCUGAUAUAUCAUAAAAGUAUAGGUUUGCAGGAAUAAAUAAUCUGUCACUAAUAUAUCCAAAAAUAAAUGGUUAAUAAUCUUACUUCUAAAAAUUAUGAUGGAAGGAUUGAAUGAAAACAACAAACUUACCUGAUACUCGGCAAAUUCAAUAGCCAUUGUCUUCAAUAUUUUGUCAGCCGGUUGGAGCAACUUGUGAGCCUCCUAUAUUUGAAAUCAGAAUUCUAAUAAUUACAUUAAUGUCAUUAAAUCUUGAACUAAUAGCCUGGUAUGCAUGUAUUCUUUGUUAAGCCCGAAGUAACAAGAAAAGACUCAACAAAUGACACACUACACAUCCUUCGCCAAUAAACCUUUCACUUAUAUAUGCUUAAUGCCUUGGUAUAUUACCAUCUCCAAUCCAUGACACCAAAAUAGUGCAACUUUUACACUAUUUUAGUGUCAAAAUCACAUCAUUCAUAAAAUGCAUUGCAGCCCAUUGACACUAUAAUCUACACUAAAAGGAAUCUUUCUAUGACAUGAAGUGAACAAAUUUGUUUCGCUAACAAAAACAAGGGCAUUGUUGGAAUUAUGAAAGACAUUAAAUCUGUUGGAAUUAUGAAAGACUCCAAUCACAGAAAUUAGAACUGCAGAGUGCAAAUAUUAAAACUGAAGAAUGCAAGAAACACAUAACCAGAAACAAUUAACAUAUCAGUAAACACAUUCUGCAGGCGACUAGUCGACCAGGCGACCGAAAGAUUGACAUUCAGCUAGUCACCAUGACAACCUUGCUAGAUGGCUAUUGAAUAGUUAUGCUUUCAAGCAUAUUCUUAAGAUAUACAAGAGGCAAGAGAAAAUACAAUUCCUGUAGAUGCGUAUUUGACACAGAUAAUAGAUGCAGAAGACUGUAUGCUGUCCAAAGUACAUCUAAAAGGGAAACUAAUAGUGUUCAAAUUUUUUAAUGAAAUUUCGGAUUUUAGGGUUAGUAACACCUAGAAACUGGAGUCAAUUCCCAAUCCGGCACGUCUAAAUAACAUCUAAGUAUAAUACAGUGUAAUCAACCUGCCUGUCCUAAUUACUGGUAAUACCAUAUUUAUUAUAACAAUUUUCAAGUGUAAAGGCAAGAAACAAAAGCAGUAUCCCUAUAGUUACACCUUCUCAGCAGCUGUUAUAUUAGUUCUUCCUUCAGCUUCUCUAGCAGAAAGGGCACCAAUGCCAACAGAUGGUAAAACUGUGCAAAAUAAAUUAAAAAAAUCAUAAGAACAAUAUACAUUCAUUUUUUUGAUAAAUCAUCAAAUUUGUCACCUCUCAACUAGCACAGUAUAGCAUAUUCAUAAUUCUGACAAGAAAAUAUCCUAAUGGCUGAACCUUUUAGGCAGAAUUGUACAACUCACCUUACGACUAAAUCAAACUAAACAUAACACAAAACAUUAAUAGAGAUUAAUCAAAAACUCUUCUAAUAAUACCAAUACAGAAUAAAACAAAAAAAUAUAUAGAAAGAAAAAAAAUGAGCUUGCCUGACUGAAAUACCAUAAGUUUGCCACCGGUACUCUUCAUUGCCAAGAAAGCACCCUAGGAAUAGAGUAAUAUUCAUUAAUAUUUAAGAAUUAUCAGUAACACAAGUUUACAUUGUCUCUUUAUGUGCCAACUAUAGCUACAGAAGAAAGCUAGUGCGACAAAAACAUAUAAAAUUUAGCAUCAGAAAGAUAAGCCGAAAAUAUAAAUACACUUCAAUAAAUCAAAACUGAACAAAUUGAAAGCUCUUAUGUUUCAAUAAAGGUUACACAGUUAAACUUUUGAAUUCAAUUUCUUUUUCUCAAAUUUAUAAUAUAGUAUAUUAAUUAUAAUUAAAUUAAAAUCAGUACACUCAAUAUUAUUUAAAACAAAGAAUGUAAAAGUACGCUUAAUUGCACAUUUUAAUUUCAUAUCAAAAUAGAAUGAAUCAACACUGUCACUUGUAAAAAACCAAAUAUUAAUUAUCACCAACAAAAUUUACAGCUUCAGAUAUCCACAAGUGAAACUUUCAUGUAUGUAAUCAGCACUUAUAUGCAUACCUUGACAGCUGCACCAAAAGCCGAAUCAGCAGUUUUAUUAUUUUGAAACAUGGUGGGGAUAUUUUCCAGCAAAAGCUCCAAAUGCUGACGACACUGCAGCCUCAAACAAGUAGAAUAACUAACCAUUCAUUUUAAGAGUCGAUAGGUGAUCUUUCCCAAAAAUGAACUCCAUAAAUCAAUGGUGUGAAAUAUUGGUCCUAAAAUAUUAAAGCAAACUGUGCCUAGAAAAAAUUACCUAAAACAUAAAAAAAUUGCUAACCUCAGAAAGUUGAACAAUCACAUCACUCUGGAGAGGAGUGUAAACAUCUUGAAUGUCAGGAACAAUAAGCAUCAGUGGCUACAGAAAAAAGAAACAAAUGUAUAUUAUUAGUGAUAACAAACUGUGACUAACUUCUGUUUCAAGUUGUUUCACAACCACUAUCCUUUUUUGCUAUGUACAUUUUACUUUAAUUUAAUCCAUCAUACAAAAUUACAUUCAUUCAAGUAUCUUAGAUCUUAGAUACGCUUUCAAAAUAACUAGUGUAGUUAAAUGAAACAUACUUUACAAACUUUUAGCUAGCAAAACAUGAACCAUGUACAAUAUAAUGAAGAUGAACAUUUAAAUGCAAGUACAGUACUUGGAGGCAGGAGAUGAAUUCAACUUCUGCUUGCAUUCAUAUAUAUACAAUUAUACACACGCGCGCGCGCGCGCGCACACAUAACUUUCUUUAAAAUCGCUUCCCCUUUUAUUAGCUGAAGAUCUAAUUAGCUUUCACAGGCAACAAAGUGACUAAAAGGGGUGCAAUAUUAUAUAUGAUAUCGGUGAAAACUUAAAUAUAUCUAAGGCUGUAAAACUGCAAUCAUUUGCUGCAAUGCAUGUAAAUGAUAUUAAACAUGAUAAAUCUCGAGAAAGGGGAACUUAUUUUAACUAAAAACAAUAUUGUAAAUAGGUGAACACAUGGCACAGAAAUAUAUAUACCUGCUGUAAUGCACGUUUCAAAUUGUAAAAAUGAAUAGUCGAAUCAAACGUCGCGAUCCCCACCAUCGUCCGAGGGCCCUCCUGCAACAGAAGUAAAAAAGAUAUAAGAUCUACUACAAACGAGGAAAUAAAAAAACCAAAUAUUAAUUACCGAACCCUGCAAUGCCUAGGCAGUGCAACAACCGGAAAAGUCUGCGAGGGAGGGGGGAUUUUCUUAUAAAUGUGUUAAAAUCAAAGAAAAGGAUUGAUUAUAAUAUAUUUUUUUUCCUAUGUUUUUAAAACUUCAUUAGUUUGACAGUAAAGGUGAGAAAACAAUGGGUUUACGAAAUCCAAGGAGAACAAUGCAAAUUGUAAAAACAAAUAAAAAAAUAAAGCAAAAUGAUAGAGAAUGAGCACUUUCAAUAUUCGAAGUUUACAACCUUUCGUGUAACCAUAAUUAUCUAUUAUGUAAGCUGCUCAAGAUUGUGUCAACUUAACAACCUUUCGUGUAACCAUAAUUAUCUUAUUAUCUAAUACUGUUGAAGAAACAUUUUGCCUAAAAGGUUGAUCGGUUAGACAUAUAAUCGACUGGAGUACAGGACUACAUAUAACUCUCUUCUUCUCUAUGGAAGUAGUUUUCUUCUAUCAUAAAGAAGAUACUUAUGACCGACCAGUAGUAUCAAAGGUAGUUCACCAAGUUGUAGAAUCUCUAUAUAUGGCCCUGCCACCUUUUUUGACUACAAAAGAGCAGCAUAAAAAAGGAUUGAGAACUAGUCUUUGUGCAGUAAAUACGUGCACUAUAUUUGCGGUAGGCUCUUAACCCACGUCGACAAGUCAGCGACUAGUUCAUUUGGAGAGAAGUCAACAAGCAACUUGUUACAUUUGCAUCAUAUAUAUCUGUUGAUGAUACUAUCAUAGCAUGAGAAAGCAUCCUGAAUUAAAAGACUAUAUCACUUUAUAUUUUCUACUCUCAUGUUAUUGUCAACUCUAUAUACUGCGUAAAAAGUCAAAUCAUGAUUUCUGACCAAUCAUAAACAUAUUGCUCACAUAUAUGUACACUUUCUAAUAGCUGGCAAGCAGCGACUUGAUUCCAGUUUACUCCUCUACAAUAGAAGGCGACGCAACACAAAAACAACACUUAAAUGCAUCUCAAUUCUUAACUCUUCCAAACAGUUUACUAGCCCGUUUAGAAUCCACUCCAGCUUCGGGCCUAAAGCAUUUGUAAUGAGCUCUACAAACGUGCCCAAUGCAAAGUCAUAAGAAUGUAAAUGCUUAACUGCUACAUUGCAGGUUACAGAUGAGAAAUCCAGCUUAUCAUAUUAAAGCAUAUUCCAAACACUACGCUCUAUUGUGAUGCUGUAUAUGCUCAUUACAGUAUAUAAAUAUUCAUAAAUGAAGGUAAUUUGUUAUGAUCUAUUACUUUCUGCAAUGCUCGAGACAAUUACAAUGAAUCAAGAUUAUAACAUAAAAAGAAAACAUAAACAUUUAACUUAUGAACUCUGAACAUGAGGCAACAAACAUAAACUUACUGGCAGAUCAGCAAUAACUUGGCUGAUUGCACUACAUGCAGCUGCUGUUGCACCAGUCUGUAGUGAGUUCAUUGACACAUCAACGAGAAAGAAAAAUACUGCAGGCAUUGGAUCGCGCACCUGACAAAAAAUGAAUUUGUAAGAAUUUACUUACGCACCAUUUUAUUAGAAAUUUGGCUGAAUUGAAGCAGUCUAACUGUAUUGCUCAUGAACCAAGUUUCUGGAAGCUUGCAAUCUUUAACUCCAACAGUUGUCCCCUUAAAGUCUAAGACUAAGAGGGCUUGAUAAUACCAAAAUGUUGGUUCAUUACCAAAACUAAGAUACUAACCAUAUAUUCUUUGGUGGCAACAAAUUCUACUGUUCCUUUACACAGCUCAGGCCUUUCAUCGGCAUCUCUGCGCCUACCAUCCGGGCCUAGAUUGCAAUGAUACUCUCGGGGGGUUUCAUCAGUAUAUCCUGCAACAAAUGUCAUUCAAGCAAGUUAGAGCUAGUGUUGCACUGCAUUUGCUCAGAACGCUAUAGACCAUAAUACUCACCACAUAAGUUGCAAAUGAAACGUCUUCCCUGGUCAAUGAACCUCAUGAAAGGAUUUAUGUAGCCUUUGCAACGAGAACACCGGACAGGACCACUUUCACCAAAAUCCACGACCUAAAAUGAAAGGAAUUAUUCAAUUAUGUGAUCUACACUUUACAAUCACUAAAUCUUCUCACUACAUAAUAUUGAUGAUCAUGAACCUUUAUGAAUUCAUCUACAUACUUGCAUCUGAUUUAUCUCUGAACUGUCAUCUGUUUAAAAACUCUUUUAUUAAAUAGGAUAGAACUAUUAAGACCAGUGAUACCAGCAUUAUCCCAAUUACAAUACUCUUGUGCUUAAAAGAAAUUCUUACAUGAUUGUGUCUAUUAAAAUUUGACAUAAAAAAGCAUUCGGAAAUUGCUUCCCUACAGACAAUCCUCCACAAAAAUGCAGUGUCAUCAAUAAUCAUAUAAAACCACAAACACAUCAAGUUCACACACCCUCAGAUCUGUAUUCCUCCCAACAUCAUUUCUCUUCUCCUUUUUAACUCACAACCAUAGACCAGCUAGAGCAACUUAUCAACAAAGUUUAUAUUUAAAGAAACUCGCUACUGCACUCUAAACUUCCAUAUCUGAUUAUAAGAUACAGAGUACAUGUUGCCAUUUCCCCUAACAGUUCAUACAAUAAUGGUAGAACGGGCAGGAAGGAGGAAGGAAUACACACACUCACACACAUAUGUUUAUGUACACACUACACAAAGAUAUAGACACAUUUGUGCACAGGUGUAAGCAACCAAAAUAAUUGAUGGGAGCAUCAUGUUCACUAUAAACAAACUAUAUUGUUCCAUAAUAUAACCUAUAUUAUAUAAAUUUUUAGGUCCUUAAAUGAAUAAUUUUACAGAACAGAAAAGUUUCCAUGUGACGAGCAACUAGUGUACUGAAAAUUGUUAGUAGGCACAAGUUUAAAUAUAUUCUUUUUAAUGGUUGGGUACAUACUCUUUCCCCAUUUAAAUCAAGUAUGAAUGCCUAUGCAUCUGUAAUGAUAUAGUAAAUAAAGGACGCUGAACGAACAAAAAUGCAGCAAACAUUAAGUCACAACUUUGGGGGAUUUUGAAGUGGGGUAAGAAAAUAUAUCUUCUGUGGAGUGCUUUGAAUUUUAGGUUACAUAUUAAAGUUCUUGACUUUCCUAGACUGUUCGCCAGGGCAUAUCCGAAAGCCAUUGGAAUUGGAAAUCGAAAUCGUAAGAUCGAAAUGCCUCCCAAAAGUAAUCACAUGAUUCAAAUUUACUAGUUUACAACCACAGGUUAUUUUCCAUGGAUUUCAACACAGGAAAUUUGCAGCAAAGAUUUUCGCUUACUCUAGGACAAAACUGGAAACUAUUCAGCGUCAGCAAACUUUUAUAAUAUAAAACUAUUAGGGGGCAAAUUAGUAUAUUACCUGGAUAGGCUCCUCAGAGGGAUGAGGAAGGGCCAAGGGCUGGACCAACAGUGCCAACUGCAUCCCGGAUGUUCCUAGAAGAUCAUUGGUGCAAGGAAUCUGCAGAAACAACAUAGAAUCUAUCAUGAUUUUGAAAAACAAUAUAAAGUGUCAGAAAUUCGUAGUGCGUUUGAAAUUUUGAAAUUAAGGACAAGAACCUGGUUGAUUGUACAUCUCAUGUACCGGGGACUGCAGUUUCCGGUGUCCCUGACAAUAUAGUCAGUGGUAGCCGACUUCAUAAUAGAAAGCAAACAGAAUAUAAGAGGCAUAAACACAAAGCAAUUAUAAUUUUAAGCAAAUAACUUACAUCUCAAAUAGAUAUAGGUUUAAAGACACAUUCGUAUAAACAGGAAAAUUAAUGCUAAAACAGAAAGAGAAAAAGUCUACAGGCCACAACUCUAGCUAAUGAGUGUACAUAUUAAUCAUUUCUAGUUGACAACUAGAUACUCAAAUGCAUUACCGGAGGCGGGUUAGCUUGAUUGCCCUGACGUGUUUCAUGCAACACAACCGAUGAACUCGGAAUAGGGCGCGGGAUCUGAUUAGGAUCAAUUUUUGACGGGCCUUGGCUCAUGGCAGGUGAUAUGGAGGCUGCAGAUUCUGGACCUGGCAUGUUGUACAUCCUUGGGGGUGGAGCAGCACCAGGAAUUGCUGAAGGUGGUGCAACCUGGGAAAAAAUUUCAAACCUCAAAGGUCAGCACUAAGCAAUCAGUAAAAGAAUUAAUUAGAAGUGCUACAUUUUUCGUAUGGUGUUACCGGAGACACCGGAUAUGAUUAUCAUUGAUGAUGACAGAAAUCUAUACUUAGCUUACAACUAAAUCAUUAACAAUUUAGAGAAAAUAGCUAAAAUGGAUAUGAAAUAAAUUUGUUUACCUUAUACGAAUAACAUAAUUAAUAUAGAUAGCAUUAGAAAAAAAGAAACUCGUACUAAAAUCAUUAAGAGGGAUAAUAAGCAAAAUACUACACUGCAAUUCAUGUGAAGAUAACAUUAAAGAGCAAAGGAACGCUGGGGAAUUGGAACUACUUCCAGAUAUAUAAAAGAUUCUAAUGCAAUAUUACAUUAGAAAAUUGUUUUUACAGGAAAGGAAUAAUGAAAGCAUUAUGAAGAAGUAUUCUGUGCAGCAUCCAACCGUCAAUAGGGGAAAUAAGAUACAUGUUCUUAAUUCUGAGGAGAGAAGCUACAAUACCUCUACAAGCAAGAAUGAUGAGUCAUAGAAAAGGCCAAAAAAAAAAAAGAAAAAAAAAGGGGGGGGAAGAUAUAUCUUACUACAAAAGAAAAAAAAAGAGGCUCAGUAACAGCUAUCUACUGAAGCAGGGGAAAUUACAUUUCACGUCUACAAUCGAGAUUCAUCAACAUCCAGGACUAUAGUAUAGAAAGUGAUAAUGAAACCAUAUUUACUGUCUGCGAUUAAUGUAGAUGUAUUCGGAAAAGAUUAUACAAGGCUAUAGAAUUUCUAACAGAAUCCUACAUCCAAUAUAGAUUUUGGUAACAUGCAAAAAUUCAUAAUUCAAACAAUACGACUCAUGAUACUACCGAGACAUAAUUGGAAAAUGUGAUAAUAAUGUUUAAUGCAUUGUGAUCUUCAAAAGCACAGUUAAUAAAUCAGAACUCAAGUAUCUUGAUGCGAGCGAGUGAAAUUCUAUUUGUAUGCUCAAAAACUUUCUAUUGUCACAGUAUACCGACUACUAUUCCAAUUCUAGUCCUAUAACAACAUGGGGAACAUAUAUUUAGCCUGUAUUUAAAAAAUUAUCAGCAUAAAUUAUAGAACUUGUACUUACCUUCUUACUUUUUCUUGAAUAUAAGAGAGGCAUAUUUAAGGCAAAUAUAGUAGCUUUAAAAAACACGAUUAAAUUACCCAAAAGGACAUAAUGAUUUAUAAAUAACAUUAAACCUAAUAUGUACUACGUUACCAUGUAAAUCUCACCUGACGUUGUUGCAUGGACCACGGCUGAGACCCAAACGGAGAAACCUGAAAUUGAGGUCCUUGAGCAGGAGCUGAAAAUGCUGAGGAGCCUAAAGGGGGUGGUGGCACGCCUUGAGAAUGUGAUGCGAAAGAUGGUGCCAGUGGUGCAGGACCAGGUAAGGGACUAGCAGCUAGACCUCCACUAAAAGGGCGCAUUCCUGCAGAGGGCGGCAUUGAUGGUAGAGAAGGUGGUCCACUUGGCAGAGAAGGUGGCCCACUUACUGGCCGCUGCAUUCCCACAGGAGAAGGAAAGCGAGGUCCACCUUGUACACCCCCUGAAGGUGGUCCAUUACUAAAUGGACCUGGGGCACCAGUAGAUGGUGGCGGAACUUGACCUGAAUUCAUUGGUGCAGACUGAAAGGGACCGGGGCGAGUACCAGGAGGUGGAGGUGCAGGGCCGGCAGAACUGAAUGCACCUGGCGGUGGAGGGCCCGGAGGCCUCACUCCAAAAGGCGGAGUAGGACCACUAGGCCUACCGGGCGGUGCAUUAGGGGGUCCUAAUGCACCUUGCGGUGGGCCAAUAGGAGUCCUAGGAACAACACCUGGUGGCGGCGGCCCUGGUCGUGGCCCAGGGGGACCUUGCUGUGGCCCAGGUGGACCUUGCUGAGCAAAAGGCGGAGGAAAUGGAGGCCUGUUAUUAUUAUUAACCUGAAAACUCAUAUUCCAAGAUGCAAAAACUGAAUCCCCAAAACCUUAAUCCACCACUCAAACACUAUUCUCUGCAUAAAACAAACCUCAAUUAAGCAAACAAUCAACUUCACAAAAAAAAAAAAAUUAUCUAAAAUCAAACAAUCCAGGCCAAACAAAAUAACAAAUUACAUACAUGAUCACUGUUACUUAAGCACCAAAUUCAAUCCAGUCAAACAAAAUCAAAAUCGAAGCCUAACUAAUUAAAACAUACACAUUACUGCAAUCACAUAAUCGACACAAACAUAAUCACCGCAAACAAUCACUUACAUGAUCACACACAUAAAAUCACACAGAAGUGAUAAGAUACAGCAAGUAAAAUACAAUUACAGGAUCAAACACCAAUCAUAAAUCACCUCAAUUUAAACAUAUAACAUCAAUCGAUUUCGAAUUAGACCAAAUGAUUAAAUUAUAUAUACAUAUACAUAUAUACAUUAAAUUGAUCACGGAUAAAUAAGAAAAUUAAAACGCGAUUCAGCAAAUAAAAUGAAGAUGGCACGAAAAUCGAGAAAUACCUCAAGGAAGAAAAAUGGGCGGAGAUGUACGUCGCGAUGGAUCGCAUACAAACGCAGACAGGAUAUGAGCGUAUGUUUGUGUGUAUAAUAUAAUAAUAUAUAUUAUUAUUAUUAUUAUUUAUAAUUGAAAUUAUAAUCUGCCUGCGUCUGAAUUGAAGCUGUUACUGCUGCUAUCGCUCGCUUUAGAUCUGGACUUCUGUAUUUGCCCACAAUGCAAAUUCUACUCCAUUUGCAUCUUUUUCUUCUUUCUUUUUCUCAAAAUAAGUUGUGAUGUUUUUUUUAAUAAAUAGUUAUUAUGUUUUUCAUUAUAAUAAAGUAUGUUAUAUAGUUUUUGACAAAUAAAUAAUUUUGUUAAGAGAAAUUACUAUCAGAACCAAAUCGGCACAAACCUCGAACUGUCAACUACGAUCAGAUUGUGAAACAAAGAACGAGCUAAACAAAUACUCCCUCCGUCCCUCCCAUUUCUUAUCGAAUGGGUUGGGCACGGAGGUUAAGAAAUAUAUAUAAAGUAGUGGAAAAGAGAAAGAAAAGUGGGUGAAGUGGUGGGACCUAUCGAUUUUUAAUAUAUAAAAAGAAGGUAGUGGAGUAAAAGUAGUGUGAAAAGGAAAGAAAAAUGGAGAAGUGGUGGGACCCAUUAACUAUUUUUGGUAAAAAAAACUUUUGCUAAAUAAAAUUUAUAUAAAAGAGAAUAGAGAAUACAUCCUACAAGGGGCAUACCCCAGGAAGAUACAGAAGAG
This 12508-nucleotide long non-coding RNA is filed under the name Daucus carota (carrot). RNAcentral describes it as "long non-coding RNA (DCAR_LNC000466)". The record is from RNAcentral. Lineage: Eukaryota; Viridiplantae; Streptophyta; Magnoliopsida; Apiales; Apiaceae.